This 420-nucleotide ribosomal RNA is filed under the name bacterium. RNAcentral's name for it is "partial 16S ribosomal RNA". It matches the Rfam family "Bacterial small subunit ribosomal RNA", at positions 355 to 776 of the family's 1533-position model. The record is from RNAcentral.
UGGGGGAUAUUGCACAAUGGGCGAAAGCCUGAUGCAGCGACGCCGCGUGGGGGAUGAAGGCUUUCGGGUUGUAAACCUCUUUCGCUAUCGAACAAGGCCCGCUUAGGGUGGGUUGAGGGUAGGUGGAGAAGAAGCGCCGGCUAACUACGUGCCAGCAGCCGCGGUAAUACGUAGGGCGCGAGCGUUGUCCGGAAUCAUUGGGCGUCAAGGGCUUGUAGGCGGCUUGUUGCGCCUGCUGUGAAAACGCGGGGCUUAACUUCGCGCGUGCAGUGGGUACGGGCAGGCUUGAGUGUGGUAGGGGUGACUGGAAUUCCAGGUGUAGCGGUGGAAUGCGCAGAUAUCUGGAGGAACACCGAUGGCGAAGGCAGGUCACUGGGCCAUUACUGCCGCUGAGGAGCGAAAGCAUGGGUAGCGAACAGG